Cyanistes caeruleus (blue tit) is the source of this 333-nucleotide long non-coding RNA. RefSeq lists it as uncharacterized. The record is from RefSeq and is a predicted model, not a curated record. Lineage: Eukaryota; Metazoa; Chordata; Aves; Passeriformes; Paridae.
GACAAAUCAUCGUGUGUGGCUGACCCAGCCAAGCUCCACCUCUCUCCAUCGCUGUGUUUUCCAUGGGAGCACAUCUGUUCUGGCUGCUCCACCUAUUUUUGAAGGCCAGCAGAGCUUGGAAUGUCCCCUGAGGUUUGCCUGGAGUGCAGGUGCUGCAGGAAUUUUGCUUCCACAAAGCUCAAGCAGAGCAGGAGACAAAAAGGAGUGGUUUUGGGUGAGAUCUGUGCCCUGAACAAAGGAUCCACUGGAGGCUGCUGAGGAUGUUUUGUGCCAAGAAGGGAGAAAGAAAUCCUGACAAAUAACAAGUUCAUGGAGUGCUUAAAUCUGAAGACA